GGGUUAAGUCCCGCAACGAGCGCAACCCUCGACCUUAGUUGCCAGCAUUCAGUUGGGCACUCUAAGGUGACUGCCGGCUAAAAGUCGGAGGGAAGGUGGGGAUGACGUCAAAUCAUCAUGCCCCUUAUGACCUGGGCUACACACGUGCUACAAUGGGCGGUACAAAGGGUUGCCAACCCGCGAGGGGGAGCUAAUCCCACAAAGCCGAUCGUAGUCCGGAUCGCAGUCUGCAACUCGACUGCGUGAAGUCGGAAUCGCUAGUAAUCGUGGAUCAGCAUGUCACGGUGAAUACGUUCCCGGGUCUU
Molecule: ribosomal RNA, 305 nt
Filed under: uncultured Turicibacter sp.
Lineage: Bacteria; Bacillati; Bacillota; Erysipelotrichia; Erysipelotrichales; Turicibacteraceae
Description: bacterial SSU rRNA
Rfam family: Bacterial small subunit ribosomal RNA
Source: RNAcentral